UAAACCGUGGCUCAUUUCAGAUCGUAGGCUGCAACUCGCCUACGUGAAGGAGGAAUCGCUAGUAAUCGCAGGUCAACAUACUGCGGUGAAUACGUUCCCGGGCCUUGUACACACCGCCCGUCACACCAUGGAAGUUGGCCACGCCCGAAGUCGUUACUCCAACCCUCUGGGAGGAGGACGCCGAAGGUGGGGCUGAUGACUGGGGUGAAGUCGUAACAAGGUAGCCGUACCGGAAGGUGCGGCUGGAUCACCUCCUAACA
This 260-nucleotide ribosomal RNA is filed under the name uncultured Synechococcus sp. RNAcentral describes it as "partial 16S ribosomal RNA". It matches the Rfam family "Bacterial small subunit ribosomal RNA", at positions 1277 to 1533 of the family's 1533-position model. The record is from RNAcentral. Lineage: Bacteria; Bacillati; Cyanobacteriota; Cyanophyceae; Synechococcales; Synechococcaceae.